RNAcentral lists this transfer RNA (72 nucleotides) under Camelus bactrianus (Bactrian camel). It matches the Rfam family "tRNA". Rfam says of the family: Transfer RNA (tRNA) molecules are approximately 80 nucleotides in length. Their secondary structure includes four short double-helical elements and three loops (D, anti-codon, and T loops). The record is from Rfam by way of RNAcentral. Lineage: Eukaryota; Metazoa; Chordata; Mammalia; Artiodactyla; Camelidae. RNAcentral also lists the same sequence under 1 other name.
GAGGGUAGAGCUCAGUGGUAAAGCGCAUGCCUAGCAUGUGUGAGGUCCUGGGUUCAAUCCCCAGUAUCUCCA